Molecule: ribosomal RNA, 372 nt
Filed under: uncultured organism
Description: bacterial SSU rRNA
Rfam family: Bacterial small subunit ribosomal RNA
Source: RNAcentral
CGUAGGGUGCGAGCGUUAAUCGGAAUUACUGGGCGUAAAGCGUGCGCAGGCGGCGCGUUAAGACAGGUGUGAAAGCCCCGGGCUCAACCUGGGAACUGCGCUUAUGACUGGCAAGCUAGAGUACGGCAGAGGGGGGUGGAAUUCCACGUGUAGCAGUGAAAUGCGUAGAGAUGUGGAGGAACACCAAUGGCGAAGGCAGCCCCCUGGGUCGAUACUGACGCUCAUGCACGAAAGCGUGGGUAGCAAACAGGAUUAGAUACCCUGGUAGUCCACGCCCUAAACGAUGUCAACUAGGUGUUGGGAGGGUAAAACCUUUUAGUACCGGAGCUAACGCGUGAAGUUGACCGCCUGGGGAGUACGGCCGCAAGGUUA